GUCCUGUGGAUAGCUCAGAUGGUAGGGAAUGAGACUCCUAAGCACAGGGUUGUGGGUUUGAGCCCCACAUUGGGCA
Podarcis lilfordi (Lilford's wall lizard) is the source of this 76-nucleotide non-coding RNA. The record is from the annotation of a GenBank genome assembly. Lineage: Eukaryota; Metazoa; Chordata; Lepidosauria; Squamata; Lacertidae.